This 450-nucleotide ribosomal RNA is filed under the name uncultured bacterium. RNAcentral describes it as "bacterial SSU rRNA". It matches the Rfam family "Bacterial small subunit ribosomal RNA", at positions 354 to 796 of the family's 1533-position model. The record is from RNAcentral.
GUGGGGAAUUUUGCGCAAUGGGCGGAAGCCUGACGCAGCCAUGCCGCGUGGGUGACGAAGGCCUUCGGGUUGUAAAGCCCUGUCCGGGGGGACGAAGGCGAGCGGGUGAACAUCCCGCUAUGUUGACUGUACCCCCGAAGAAAGCACCGGCUAACUCCGUGCCAGCAGCCGCGGCAAUACGGAGGGUGCGAGCGUUGUUCGGAAUCACUGGGCGUAAAGCGCGUGUAGGCGGUGGUGCAAGUCGGGUGUGAAAGCCCUGGGCUCAACCCAGGAAUUGCGCUCGAAACUGCACUGCUGGAGUACGGGAGAGGGACGUGGAAUUCCUGGUGUAGAGGUGAAAUUCGUAGAUAUCAGGAGGAACACCUGUGGCGAAGGCGACGUCCUGGACCGAUACUGACGCUGAGACGCGAAAGCGUGGGGAGCAAACAGGAUUAGAAACCCCAGUAGUCC